Molecule: ribosomal RNA, 4455 nt
Filed under: Triticum aestivum (bread wheat)
Lineage: Eukaryota; Viridiplantae; Streptophyta; Magnoliopsida; Poales; Poaceae
Description: partial small subunit ribosomal RNA
Source: RNAcentral
CUCCACUGAAUCGAGUGGCUGCUCCUCCCCCACUCCCCACUCUGUCGACUUAUCUCCGGCCCACGCCGCCUGGACCGCAGGAUACAUUGGCGAGCGAGCAGGGGAGCGGAGCGAGCGCCGGCGCCCGGCGGCGACGUGCCGGAGAGGAGCAUGUAGGCCGCGCGCCGGCGACGCCAUCCUACAGUGAACAGGAUAAACAGAGCUGCUCAAAUGGAUGGUGGUGCUCCCUUCCGAGUGUAUCAGCUCCUGAUGGCCCGAUGCCACAAACAGAGGAGCAUAUUCUUCUAGCUCCACUGGUUUCGAACUCUGAGAAUUCUUGCCAACAAUAGCAUCUAGUUUGUUGCAUUUCUGAGCGGACGGACACUUCUCCUCUGUGUUCUUUAGCUUGGUGUGCUAUCGCUUGUAGAUGAUCCAGAGUUACUACAGCUUGUGGAGGUUGAGCUUCGAGCAGAGCUUCUCAAUUUCUACAAGUACCCUGGUGAUGAGGUUCAUAUCAUCCAUAGAUCUGCCCUGUCAUCCUUGGAUGGCCAUGGUUAUCCUCCCCCUCCUCCUGCUCCGCGUGCCUCUCACCGCUGCCCAAACGUGGCCAUCCUGUGGUGAGAGCGGCGACUACAAAUCAAAUAGCACAUACGAAGCCAACCUUAGGCUCCUCUCAUCCACCCUCCCGAAGAAAGCAGCGUCCAACACGACCCUCUUCGCCACCGACACUGUUGGCAAUGUUCCGAAUGUCAUCUUUGCCCUCGCACUCUGCCGUGGAGACUCCAACUCCUCUGCCUGCGAGGGCUGUUUGGUUAACGCCUUCCAGGACGGGCAGGAGCACUGCGCGAACAAUAUGGACGCCACCGUGUACUACGAUAACAAUCCCUGCAUGCUCAGGUUCUCCAACCAGAAUUUUCUCGCCACCACCGCCAAUGACCAUAUGCUCGUCAUUGUGAGCAUCGAGAGCUUGAUGAUGAACAUCCCGACAAGAGCCGACUCCUUCAAGCUCUUGUUGUUCACGCUUCUGAACAGCACGGCUCAAUCCGCCGCGAACAGCUCGAGGAGGUUCACCACCUCGCGCUUAGACGUCAACUCCUUCCCUACGCUCUACUGCCUUAUGCAGUGCACGCCAGACCUGACCGCCGACGACUGCACCGCAUGUUUGCAGCCUUACUUCCAGUAUACAGUCAAAUACAUGGAUGGUAAGAAAGGUGGUCGAGUACUGGGGACACGGUGUAGCAUGAGGUACGAGAUAUUCCCAUUCUUCCAAGGGGACCCCAUGCUGCGUAUUAUCAACUUGGUAUCUGAAGUUCCGGCGAUCAACAACACCGUGCCACUGAUUACCGUGAACCCACCUCCGCAGUCGCAGUCGCCGGUUGCGGCAGCACCACCUCCGGAGGCGCAAGCGACCACCCAAGAAAUUCAUGGACGCAACUCACGCCAGAGGCCGCUCUGGAUUAUCGCUGUGGCAGCUCCAUUACUGUCAAUAUUUCUGUGCGUUAUCUGUUUUGUUGUAUGGAUGAGAAGGCGAAGAAAAGGAACGGAAAUCUUACAUGAUCAAGCUGCCAUGAAUAGGCCGGACGAAGACGCAUUGGUUUGGAGAUUGGAAGAGAAGAGUUCAGAGUUCACUCUGUUUGACUUAUCAGAGGUAUUGCGUGCUACACACAACUUCUCCAAAGAAAACCUACUUGGGCAAGGUGGUUUUGGCCCUGUCUACAAGGGCCGGUUACCAGAUGGAACAGAAAUUGCAGUUAAAAGGCUUGCCUCACAUUCAGGACAGGGUUUCACAGAAUUCAAAAAUGAAGUUGAACUUAUUGCGAAAUUACAGCACAAUAAUCUGGUCAAGCUCAUAGGAUGCUGCAUUGAGGGAGAGGAAAAACUUUUGGUGUACGAAUAUUUGCCAAAUAAGAGCUUGGACUUCUUCAUCUUUGAUGUUAACCGAACAACUUUGGUUGGUUGGAAUAAAAGAUGUGUGAUAAUCGAAGGGAUAGCCCAAGGUCUACUGUAUCUCCACAAGCACUCUCGGUUGCGCAUCAUACACAGAGACCUUAAGGCCAGCAACAUUCUCUUGGACCAGGACAUGAAUCCUAAAAUUUCUGAUUUUGGGCUAGCAAAAAUUUUCAGCUCCAAUGAUACUCAAGGAAGCACAAAGAAGGUGGUGGGAACAUAUGGUUAUAUGGCUCCGGAGUAUGCAUCUGAAGGAAUUUACUCGAUCAAAUCUGACGUGUUCAGUUUUGGUGUGUUGCUUCUCGAGAUCCUUAGUGGAAAAAGGAAUUCUGGUUUCCAUCAGCAUGACGACUUUCUUAACCUCCUUGGAUAUUCAUGGCAUCUCUGGGAAGGAGGGAGAUGUCUUGAGCUUCUAGAAACAUCGAUUGUUGAGGAGAUCCAUGCAGCAGAGGCUAGUAGGUACAUUAACAUUGCGCUAAUGUGCGUACAAGAGCGCGCAGACAAUCGACCAACCAUGUCGACUGUCGUUGCAAUGUUAAACAACGAGAAUUUUAUUCUUCCAGAGCCUAAACAUCCAGCAUACUUCAACCUAAGGGUAUCUAAGGAAGAUGAAUCGGGUAGUGUUCCAUACAGUAAUAAUGCCGACACCAUCUGCAGUAAUAAUGACUUGACCAUCACUGAGGAGCCAGAUGGCAGAUAGUUGAUCACUUUGCUUCAGUUGUUGAUUGAAGUGCUAGUAAUCAGACAGCAGGCAGGCAGACCAGGUCAAGUGAACUAGGGCUGACCAAGUAAGCCUAUCAUAUUUUGGUUGUUCGGUCCUCAGUUAAUAUUGUAUUUAGCUUUUGUGCACCGCACCAUCAUUUUACACUGGUGGCUGCUGUCGUAGAAGACUUGAAAUCCAAAGGAUUUCAAUCUGACAACAGAUGCAUUAACUGAAUCCUGCUGGGUAAAAUAUGUGUUGCAUCUAUAUGCGCCUUCCAUGUUUUCUUCCAAGUUAAUUCCGUUGGCGUGCAAGGUUAGCUAGAGUCAUGGAAACCUUGAGGCCAUAACUGAUAAGGUUCCGGUACUGCAGUUAAUCUGUUCGAGCUCGUAGCAGUUCCACACUGUUACGAAAAGAUGCAUUUCCAUAGCGAUCAUUUUGGUAUUUAUCCUGCUAACGGUCCAUAAGUUGAUCAACCAUACUACUCAUUGGUACUAAGAAUAGGAGUUCUUGAUUUAAACUUUGAGGCAAAAUUUACGUGGCAAGUUUGUACCUUCCAUGAGUUAAGUAGUUAUGUUUGUAUUUUGUACUAUUUUAAUCAUAUAAUAUGGAGUGUAUAAAUAUAUAUUUUAGAUACUUUCAAUAGACCAAAUAUGAUGACCUCGCAACCUGCUAGUUCUUUCCAACAGAACAUUGUGUUUUUCUAUUGCUUUUUAUCGUUUAUAAUAAUGUGCUUGUCUUGAUAUGCGCAAUUCUUGGGUGGUAUACCAAACAAUAAGGUGAAAUAUAUUAAAAUAAAAUGUAUUGUAGUUAUUUAGGACGCAAUGUAGCGUCUCAACUAUGGCAGAUACAAUGAGUAAUGACAUCGACCAAAUACAAUGAGUAACGACAUCGACCAAAACAUCUAUGCGAGGAUAGAUACACUUUACAAAGGUCUCAAUAUCUUCUAGACAUGCUUACGUUGCGCCUCUAUGAGUUUUGACACGGUGCACGAGGACGCGCCCCUAAGCACUUUACAUAAUGACUACACGCAUGUAGGGAUGAAAUUAAGUCUUCAGCAGAUAAUGUAGCGAUAACAUCUAGAGUUUGGUGUGGAUCAGUGUACAACUCAGAUGUACCAACUGAUACGAAGUUAUCAACUAUCUCCCAUCAGGCUCUUCGGUGAUGGUUACAUCAUUAUUACUGCAUGGAACAACAACACCAGCUGAUUGGUGUACCGUAGAUACUCUUACGUUGACAUAUGCAGGAGGAUUAGGCUCUGGAAUAAUAACACUCUCGCUGUUUAACAUUGCAACAACAUCUGACAUGGUGGGUCGAUCAUCUGCACUCUCUUGUACGCACAUUAGUGCAAUGUUAAUAUACCUCCUAGCCUCUGUUGUAUGGAUCUCCGUAACAAUUGAUAGUUCUAGAAGCUCAAGCCACCUUCCUCCUUCCCAGAGAUGCCAUGACUGCAAGAAGAAAUGCACUAUUUUCGUCACAUACAUGAUAAAAGAAACUUCAGUCUACAAAAUAAUACACUCAUAUGCGAGGGUUCAGAAAAUGCUGACAUAUCCAAGAAGGUUAAGAAAGUCUUCGCAAUGAUGGAAACGAGAAUUCCUUUUUCCACUGAGGAUCUCAAGAAGCAACACACCAAAGCUGAACACGUCGGAUUUGAUUGAGUAAAUGCCUUCAGAUGCAUACUCGGGAGACAUAUAACCACUGAAAUGAGUUAGAAGCACAAGACAGUAUUGUAUCACAAAUUAUAAUGUGGUACAUGACUUAAAAAUUGUACUGUAGGCACUAUAUAUGUUGUAAUUUGUAAAACAAAGGUAUGCUUACUAUGUUCCCAC